ACACUUGAAAGUUUCCAUCGAGAAUAAAUAACCGAAGAAGCGGAGAAAAACAUAAAAGAAGAAAAAUGGAGAGAAAGGGGAGAAGAAAAAUCGAGAGAAAACAGAUAAAUCGAGUGAAAAUAUUGUCGUGUAUGUUGUUGAUUUGGUACCAUUAAUGGAAGAAGAAGAAGACAACUCAGUGUUAGUUGGGUUUUUUUCCCAUCAAAGUUGAAAAAUCAAGAGAAAAAGGCUUCAAUAGAGAUCAGUGGAUCAUCGUCAAAUCGGGGUUGUGAUGGUUCUGUUUUGAUCUUACCAACAGAUGACAAUAAUUCUGAGAGAAACGCAUCUAUCAACCUUUCUUUAGCUGGAGAUGCAUUUGACAUUGUUGAUAAGGCUAAGGCAGCAUUAGAAAAAGAAUGUCCCUGGGUAGUCUCAUGCUCGGAUAUCCUUGCCAUCUUGGCACGUGAUGUCGUACACUGGUGGGAAGGUCCGCACUGGCAGGUUGAGAAAGGAAGAAGAGAUGGACUCAUCUCCAAUGCAACAGAAGCUCAACUACUCAUGCCAAAGUCUGAUGAAAAUAUAACAACUCUCAUCCGUGGAUUCGAAUCGAUUGGACUAUCAACUGUUGAUCUCGUCACAUUAUCUGGGGCACACACAAUAGGUUUUACACACUGUAUAGAAUUUGCUAGUCGUAUCUUUCACAACGACACCACAUUGAACUCUACAAUAAGAGAAAAGGUAAUCCUUAGCUGUCCAUUUCCGAAGAUUGACAGAAAUGUUGCUGAAGCACUUGACCAAACUUCUGAAUUUGUAUUUGAUAAUAAGUUUUAGAAGAGCUUGCGACAACGGAAAGGCUUGCUCUUGACGGACCAUGUAUUGGCUUUUGGUGAAAAUGAUGUCUCUCGUAAAUUAGUGUAUAGGUACUCCGAGGACCAAGAAUUGUUCUUCCAGGAAUUUGCAAAAGCCAUGUUGAAAUUGGGAAGAGUUGGUGUUAAGACUGGGAAUGAGGGAGAAAUUAGAAGGGAUUGUAAGAAAUUUAACUGAUUAGGGUUUUCUGUUGUAUUGGCAAUUACAAUGUCAUCGUGAGCAUAAUAAGAGGGUAAUUUACUGUUUGGUAGGAGCUAAUACAUGUGAAUUUUCCA
Long non-coding RNA from Papaver somniferum (opium poppy), 1121 nucleotides. RefSeq lists it as uncharacterized. Lineage: Eukaryota; Viridiplantae; Streptophyta; Magnoliopsida; Ranunculales; Papaveraceae. The record is from RefSeq and is a predicted model, not a curated record. The transcript is spliced from 3 exons.